This 1732-nucleotide ribosomal RNA is filed under the name Escherichia coli. RNAcentral describes it as "partial 23S ribosomal RNA". It matches the Rfam family "Bacterial large subunit ribosomal RNA", at positions 419 to 2136 of the family's 2925-position model. Lineage: Bacteria; Pseudomonadati; Pseudomonadota; Gammaproteobacteria; Enterobacterales; Enterobacteriaceae. The record is from RNAcentral.
GGGACACGUGGUAUCCUGUCUGAAUAUGGGGGGACCAUCCUCCAAGGCUAAAUACUCCUGACUGACCGAUAGUGAACCAGUACCGUGAGGGAAAGGCGAAAAGAACCCCGGCGAGGGGAGUGAAAAAGAACCUGAAACCGUGUACGUACAAGCAGUGGGAGCACGCUUAGGCGUGUGACUGCGUACCUUUUGUAUAAUGGGUCAGCGACUUAUAUUCUGUAGCAAGGUUAACCGAAUAGGGGAGCCGAAGGGAAACCGAGUCUUAACUGGGCGUUAAGUUGCAGGGUAUAGACCCGAAACCCGGUGAUCUAGCCAUGGGCAGGUUGAAGGUUGGGUAACACUAACUGGAGGACCGAACCGACUAAUGUUGAAAAAUUAGCGGAUGACUUGUGGCUGGGGGUGAAAGGCCAAUCAAACCGGGAGAUAGCUGGUUCUCCCCGAAAGCUAUUUAGGUAGCGCCUCGUGAAUUCAUCUCCGGGGGUAGAGCACUGUUUCGGCAAGGGGGUCAUCCCGACUUACCAACCCGAUGCAAACUGCGAAUACCGGAGAAUGUUAUCACGGGAGACACACGGCGGGUGCUAACGUCCGUCGUGAAGAGGGAAACAACCCAGACCGCCAGCUAAGGUCCCAAAGUCAUGGUUAAGUGGGAAACGAUGUGGGAAGGCCCAGACAGCCAGGAUGUUGGCUUAGAAGCAGCCAUCAUUUAAAGAAAGCGUAAUAGCUCACUGGUCGAGUCGGCCUGCGCGGAAGAUGUAACGGGGCUAAACCAUGCACCGAAGCUGCGGCAGCGACGCUUAUGCGUUGUUGGGUAGGGGAGCGUUCUGUAAGCCUGUGAAGGUGUGCUGUGAGGCAUGCUGGAGGUAUCAGAAGUGCGAAUGCUGACAUAAGUAACGAUAAAGCGGGUGAAAAGCCCGCUCGCCGGAAGACCAAGGGUUCCUGUCCAACGUUAAUCGGGGCAGGGUGAGUCGACCCCUAAGGCGAGGCCGAAAGGCGUAGUCGAUGGGAAACAGGUUAAUAUUCCUGUACUUGGUGUUACUGCGAAGGGGGGACGGAGAAGGCUAUGUUGGCCGGGCGACGGUUGUCCCGGUUUAAGCGUGUAGGCUGGUUUUCCAGGCAAAUCCGGAAAAUCAAGGCUGAGGCGUGAUGACGAGGCACUACGGUGCUGAAGCAACAAAUGCCCUGCUUCCAGGAAAAGCCUCUAAGCAUCAGGUAACAUCAAAUCGUACCCCAAACCGACACAGGUGGUCAGGUAGAGAAUACCAAGGCGCUUGAGAGAACUCGGGUGAAGGAACUAGGCAAAAUGGUGCCGUAACUUCGGGAGAAGGCACGCUGAUACGUAGGUGAAGUCCCUCGCGGAUGGAGCUGAAAUCAGUCGAAGAUACCAGCUGGCUGCAACUGUUUAUUAAAAACACAGCACUGUGCAAACACGAAAGUGGACGUAUACGGUGUGACGCCUGCCCGGUGCCGGAAGGUUAAUUGAUGGGGUCAGCGCAAGCGAAGCUCUUGAUCGAAGCCCCGGUAAACGGCGGCCGUAACUAUAACGGUCCUAAGGUAGCGAAAUUCCUUGUCGGGUAAGUUCCGACCUGCACGAAUGGCGUAAUGAUGGCCAGGCUGUCUCCACCCGAGACUCAGUGAAAUUGAACUCGCUGUGAAGAUGCAGUGUACCCGCGGCAAGACGGAAAGACCCCGUGAACCUUUACUAUAGCUUGACACUGAACAUUGAGCCUUGAUG